UCGCCCCGGCCCCCCCCCGCGCCCGUCCCGCCGCCCCCGCCCGCCUACGGGAGGCAGCAGGGGGGAAUAUUGCACAAUGGGCGAAAGCCUGAUGCAGCAACGCCGCGUGAGGGAUGACGGCCUUCGGGUUGUAAACCUCUUUUAGCAGGGAAGAAGCGAAAGUGACGGUACCUGCAGAAAAAGCGCCGGCUAACUACGUGCCAGCAGCCGCGGUAAUACGUAGGGCGCAAGCGUUAUCCGGAAUUAUUGGGCGUAAAGAGCUCGUAGGCGGUUUGUCGCGUCUGCUGUGAAAUCCCGAGGCUCAACCUCGGGCCUGCAGUGGGUACGGGCAGACUAGAGUGCGGUAGGGGAGAUUGGAAUUCCUGGUGUAGCGGUGGAAUGCGCAGAUAUCAGGAGGAACACCGAUGGCGAAGGCAGAUCUCUGGGCCGUAACUGACGCUGAGGAGCGAAAGGGUGGGGAGCAAACAGGCUUAGAUACCCUGGUAGUCCACCCCGUAAACGUUGGGAACUAGUUGUGGGGACCAUUCCACGGUUUCCGUGACGCAGCUAACGCAUUAAGUCCCCGCCUGGGAGAACGACGACGG
Molecule: ribosomal RNA, 584 nt
Filed under: uncultured Microbacterium sp.
Lineage: Bacteria; Bacillati; Actinomycetota; Actinomycetes; Micrococcales; Microbacteriaceae
Description: bacterial SSU rRNA
Rfam family: Bacterial small subunit ribosomal RNA
Source: RNAcentral